RNAcentral lists this long non-coding RNA (1921 nucleotides) under Mus musculus (house mouse). Its description in RNAcentral is "long non-coding RNA chr19:46660031-46661952". The record is from RNAcentral. Lineage: Eukaryota; Metazoa; Chordata; Mammalia; Rodentia; Muridae.
AAAUAAUAAAAUGUUGGGAUUGAAUCUGUGUUCUGUUAUUUGUUGGCUGUUGACAUGAGGUGAGUCUUGUUUAAGCGUCUUCAUAGGUACAUUUUCUUAACCUUAAAAUGGCUCCUCGAGGUACAAGUUACAGUCUUCCAGAUUGUAACUGACCCUGCUGUCAGUGGUCAGGAGCAGGAGAUGCUCAGGAAGGAACUAACCUGUCCAAGGUCACAGCUGAUAAAAAGCAGAGCCAGGAAUUGAAAAGCCAGACCCGUUCGUUGAUCCCAAGGACUAUUUAGUUAACCAGAAGGCCAGGCCCUGAAGAGCUGAAAUGUGUCUAGAAGCCACGUGGCUUUGACUUCCCAAAGGUGAGAGGAGACCAGAGAAGGAUGUGUUGAGCGGAAAACUUGCUGAAACAUGAGGCAAAUGACAUUCCGUCAGUCCCACAUCCAGGCGCCUUGCCUUCCAGCCUGCCCCAGGGAUGCCUGCUGCAAGUUAGCUCCUACUGUGUCUGAGUAUGGUGGUGCUUACCUCUAGUCCCAGCACUCAGAGGCAAGUGGGUAGCAGUGAGUUCAAGGCCAGUCUAGUCUACAUAGUUCUAGGCCACCUGAGACUACACGGUGAAACCCUGUCUCAGAAAACCAAAUCAACCAACAAUAUAAACCCCACGACAGCUGGACAGGGGGUGGUGCAUACCUUUUAUUCCAACAUUCUGUGCAACUCUGUGAGUUCGAGGUCAGCCUGAUCUCACAGAGUGAGUUCCAGGACAGCCAGGGCUACACAGAGAACCCUGUCUCAGAAGACAAGACAAAACAAACCCACAACAAACGUUAGCUUCCACAGGGGGAUAUGACUCUUGGAAAUGUUCAGAAUCCUGGGAAGCUGUGUGUGUUUCUCCUGAGAAGAUGAAAAUAGAAAUGUCAGGAUUCGUGGGGGCGCGAACAUGUUGUUUGGUUAGAAAUAUCUCUUCUAUAAGCCUGUCACUCCCACUAGAAAAUGUUACUAAACAUCAGUGCAGGAGUAGGAGGAGUUGUCUGUCCUUGUGCUCUCUGCCUACUUUUUGACUAUCAGCACUGCCUGGCCCUUACAUGCAGGUGGAUUCUGGAAGACUCCGUGACAAACCUCCCAACCUAGCCUACUUGUGAGAAAUCUGUGUAAAACCCUCAGGGGAAGAGUUAUUCUCUGGUUUUUGUUUUUGUUUUGAAGUAUCGAUAAUGCAGAUGUUUGAUGAGGAACCAGACAUGUUGUAGAGGUCCACACUUAGAGCAAUGUUGAGGAGCCUCAGUCCACACACACCUCAGCCUCCCCAGUCCACCUGCGUAUAUGACAGACGGGAAGUCUGGGGUCCACGAAAGCCAAGUAAGUUGUCUGUGUCACUUGGUCUCUAAACAAAAACCAAAUUUGUCUCCAUGGGCUGGCCUUGUCACAUAUAAGGGCCUUACCUGCCCUCCCGAGUCUUGCUGUUUUAUCCCCACCAAGGCCUCAGAAUGGGCAGCAUUUGUGGAGUGACCCUUCUUUACAUACGAGGACAUGGUAGUUCAGGAAGUCUGCAGUAGGAAUGGGAUGCCAGACUUGGGCUGGGAGGCCAGGGGCUAUCACGUGAAUGUUCCCAGUCUUCCUCACCCAGUGUCCCUGACUCUGCAGUCUCUGAUUGGUCCCCUGCCAUCCACAGAUGGACACCUAUCUGUGUCUGCAGAGAGCAGCCUUUACUUUGGGUUUUAUGGCCACCAGGGGCCUUAGGAAACACGCGCUUGCACACAAGACACAUCCCUCUCUGGGAAGACACCUCCCCCUACAGAGGGCCCCUGUGGGAGCUGUUUUUCUGAAGGAUAGGAACCAGGGUGGAGGAGUGAAGUAGUGGAGGCAGUAGCUGUUUUAGCUCACAAGAUUAAUUACUAUUAAAGGUUCAAAGAUUUUAUGAGUUGCUUACUAAAUAGCC